GAGACGCUGGCGGCGCGCCUAACACAUGCAAGUCGAACGAGCGAGAGAGAGCUUGCUUUCUCGAGCGAGUGGCGAACGGUGAGUAACGCGUGAGGAACCUGCCUCAAAGAGGGGGAUAACAGUUGGAAACGACUUGCUAAUACCGCAUAAGCCCACGGUGCCGCAUGGCACAGAGGGAAAAGGAGUGAUCCGCUUUGAGAUGGCCUCGCGUCCGAUUAGCUAGCUGGUGAGGUAAUGGCCCACCAAGGCGACGAUCGGUAGCCGGACUGAGAGGUUGAACGGCCACAUUGGGACUGAGACACGGCCCAGACUCCUACGGGAGGCAGCAGUGGGGAAUAUUGCACAAUGGGGGGAACCCUGAUGCAGCGACGCCGCGUGGAGGAAGAAGGUCUUCGGAUUGUAAACUCCUGUUGUUGGGGAAGAUAAUGACGGUACCCAACAAGGAAGUGACGGCUAACUACGUG
RNAcentral lists this ribosomal RNA (464 nucleotides) under uncultured bacterium. RNAcentral's name for it is "bacterial SSU rRNA". It matches the Rfam family "Bacterial small subunit ribosomal RNA", at positions 33 to 507 of the family's 1533-position model. The record is from RNAcentral.